GAUGCAGGCUGUUGGCUGUAGCUGGGGUGUUUGUCCAGGGGGGUCAGCUCUGUCUAGUCUUCUUGAUGGUGGCUUUGGGGGUAUUUUCUGCUAGAAAACAGCACCAGGUGAAAUGAAAUUGACAACCUUGGACACAGACCAGAACUCUGUGGGCAUGGAGCAAAUUGGCAUCUGCAGAUGUAGGAUGAAAGCAGAUCUCCUUGAAAAUGUUGGACUGAACAUCCUGAGUACCUGGAUCAAAUUUAGCAUGAAGACUGAACUGCUGUGCUUUUGCUGCCUUCACUGUUCAUCAAGUUGUCUGGUCUUACAGGUCCAAGAGCUGAUCGCAAAGAUGACAGCUUCAAAGAUGUCUCAGAGAGAACCCCAAACUCUAUUCUUGGGCUGAGUGGGAGAUAUGUCUGUCUUCUGAGGAGGACCAUCACAUUUUAGUUUGAACAUCUUUGAAUCAGGCUAAAACUCCAGUGACAGAAGGAAAAAGCCUGUCCUAGAAGAGCAUAUAUUGAAAGAUUGCACUGCCACCAGCAUGUUGCUUUUAGAAGUCUGGGCAUGUUAAAGAUGGAGCUGCUCAAAGCAGUCCAAAAGAGCAACAGGGUGUGUGACGGGCAGUAAAGUGAUUUGCAACCAAUAGCCCACAAGAGAGCAAGGAGUAAGUGCCACAGGAGCUUGUGCCCACCCCCAGCCCCACUAGGAAGUGAAUGAAGAACUGCAUGGAUCUUGUUUUAAAUGGAACUGAACGGUAAUCCCAGGAGAUUUAAGUGCUGAGAUCAUGCAAUGGAUACAUAUUUCACACCUGGGGAUAGAGACAUGCCUGAGAUGAGCCAGGAAAUCUAUCUACAGGCCAGGCAUGAAUACCCAGUUGAAAGCAUACAUGGAACACUGAAAGCUGUGUAAAGAAUAUAGUGAUUGACAAGAAACGCCUCAUGAAAUCCCAGCCCAGCCCUGGAAAAGGUCAGAACAGACUUGUUUCUAAUGAAAGAAACUUUAUGGCCACGGUAGAUUACUAACCCAGUUUCUGGAAGAUGCACAGACAAGAACGGUGAUCAGAAAAUGGAAGGCACAGGUUUCGAGAUAUGAUACUCACUGGGACCAAGUGAGAGGGUCCUGGUACCUCUCAUUUAGGAUUUUGAAUACUUCAGUGCAUUUAAAAACUUCUGCAUAAUAAGAUUUAUGUCCCUUUAAAUACAAAACAGAAUAGGAAGAUUGUAUCUGUCUUAAAGGCAGCCAAACAAAAGGUGGCAAUGUUAGAGAGAUAAGAAGGAGGGUUGUCCUGUUUGGUUUGAACCUCAUAAAUGCUAAAUAUUUCCACGGUUUAGAUAGUGACAUGUAUUCAGAGUUUAAGAAAGUAUGUCUUCUGAAGCUUGCAGCAAAAAUGAUUUAUUUUUUUUCUUUACAGCUAUUGGGAAACCAAACACAAAGAGCCUAAAACCCAGAAGCUACUGUAUGCAGGCAGGUGUAUAUGAAAUUUACCCUGAAGUUACUAUGAAAGAUAAGAGCACCAAAAAAAGUCAUUGGGUACAGGACGUGAGAGGAGUAAAACAAGCAAGAAUAGUGAAACCUGAGAGACUACACUGUAACUGGAAUCAAAGAUAGCAGCAAGUGAUCAUAGUCAGACUAACGUGCCCAACACAAAAAGGAUGUGAAGUCUGUGAUCAGCACAGAAGAUCAAUACAACCGAUCCUCUCAAGGGCCCUCAAUAAUGACCAAAAUCAGGGAAGUUAAGCAGUGUGGAAAGAACUUGGUUGCUUCAUCGUUGGCAUCCAGUGUUGUUUUAGCUAUUACAACAUAGCCUUUCUGGCAUCCAUUUGCCACCUCGGUAGAGUGUCAAUCUGCUUUAGGUCCUGCGUCAUACCUGCUAUUCCUGUACAGAUGUCUUGGAUACCUUAAGGUCUCUCAAAUGGCACUGGGCACUGAGCAUGAGCAGAGGAAUCCUGUCACUUGCCUUAUGAAGCAUCAUGCUCUUGAAGGGCCACAACAGUGUGGUAAUGGCUACAGACCAGUGUGGCAGCACUGAGUAAGCUGAAGAAAUCUUUAAAUGGAAAGACUGAAGUGUUUUGGUUUGGUUGGAAAACUGAACUAGCUUGCCAGAGGGAAAGCAAAGGAAACCAGAACAUUUUCCCAAAGAGAAGAUUCACAAUUGAAAAAAAAAAACAAUUUCUGGGACAAUGCCGACUGUAAAGUGUGUGACACAAAUCUCUGACAUGUUCACAUCUUGAAAAUUAUGUGUGUCACUUGUCCUCAACUCAAAAAGACCUUUCAAGAUUUAAAAAAGAAAACCAUCACAAAUUUGAUCAGCCCCAACAGGGAAGGCACCAAACAUCUUGUCUGGUAAAUGUUAAGCUCACUGUCAGGAGCCACCAGAUCUUUGGCAUAUACACAUGGGGAAGGGAGCAAGCAAGGUCAAAGGGAUGUACUAUGUGCACAGAGCAGAAGAGGCUAAGUUUUGCAGUCUUAUUUAGCUCUUUCGGAUGAUUGUUCUUCAUUUCAUAAUGAAGUCACGAACAGCCCACAGGAGAUCCCACCUCUUGUACAGAUGAACUCUAGCCUUGUUAUGGAGAGCCCUGCAGGGAUAGAGGGCCAUAACUGGUAACUGUGAUCCUCAUCCUAUCUUUAUGUGUAAGUAUGCUGGGAAGAGAAAAUAAGAAACGAUCCUGGUUUGAAAUUUUAUGAAAAGUCAUUGCAGGCAGCACAGAACAAAGGUAGCUUGCUAACAGUACAACUGUGGAAAUGCACAGACGUUCCUUUUCAUGGGAACCAGCUCACUUUGUGAGCUUCCAUGAGCAAUACACAGUAGCUGGCUAGAGCCAGUGAAUUAAAUGUGGGUUUCUUUUAUGUUGAUUUCUUACUAGUUUGUCUUCAAGAGGAUAAUGGAAGGUUUUUUCUCAAAUGAGAUACAGUGCACCUCAGGCAGGGCAUGGUACCUCUUGUUUGUGAUUACCUUUUUGGCCCAAAGGAGUCAGAGUUACCAUCCCUGGGCUCUUCUACUGCAACACAGAAAGCGUCCUGGUGCCUCCGUGUCUUUCCUGCUUUGGGAACACUGGCAGAUUGAUGAUGAAGAUUUUAUAGACAUACUCGUACAUGUAUAAUGAGACGUGACAAUGCCAGUUGCCUGCAAUAGUCUUGCCUGCUUUGGAAAUCCCUUCUCUCCUCCAUUCAAAGUCUGUCUCCUGUUGUGAGAUGCACUGGCUACACGCAGCUUGCAGCAUGAACAGGCAUAGCUGAGAAAGCACUAACUGCACAGAUCUGGAAUUAAGAAAUACUGUCAGAAAGCUAAUUUCCAUGAGACCAGGAUGGAAUGGACAUUUCAACAUGUGUCAGUAUGGCUUCGUAAGGAUAGCUGCACCACGGGAGACUACUUGCUUCAGACUGAUCAGAUGGAAGAAAAGGCUGUCAACUUAGUUUGACACAAACUGCAAAUUUGACUCAAAAAAGUUCCUGAAAAAUUGUAUGGUGUGCUGUUUAAGGUACAUCAAAUCUUUCUGGAGAGAUAUCCAGUCCCAAUUUAAUUUCUAUGAAAUCCUGUUCUUGGUCUGUGUGGAACCAUACCACAGCCUCAGUGAUGGGAGGAAAUCCAACUGCAAAGGGUCCUUAAGUUAUCAUCCAGCCAUUCACACCUCUGGAAUUUCAUAAUAAAUUGAAUCAGCUGAACGUGGUGGUGGGGUUAGACAGUGAACAGAUCUGAAUGAGUGGUGAAACCAAUGACUCAUCUCAGUGUCUAAUUUCAUUCCUGUUCAGAUUGUUUAUCUAGGAAGAAAAGGGCAGAGAAUGUAUAAGGAUAUAUGUGCUGUUUAUUUAAAUGUGUAGUAGAAAGCUAAUUCCUAGGUAGAAGUUCUGCUCUGAAGCGGUGGGAGGAAAAGACUGAUUUGCUAUAGGGAUAUCAUUAAUUUAUUUAUUUUAAUGACAUUUCUUGUCUUUUGUUUCACAUGUAACAAAAGACGAUAGUGACUUUCUUCAAAGUCCAUCUGUCUGAGAUCCUUCUUUGUUAUUGAUUUCCAUUCAACUCUUUCCAGCUUUUCUAUGAGUUGAUGGCAUUCGAGGGCCAAAGCCUUGUGAUGUAUUUGCUGUGGUUUUAUUAAUGCUGUACAAAGCCUCAUCUCUUCCCUAGUUCCUGAUUGUGGUGGGCUGGAGGAUGGAAAACCAAGCUGCAGUGAAGCAUUUCAAUAUCCUAUUUCACUGCAAACUCACAUUAAAUUUGCUAUUCUCUUUGAAGUCAGCAGAAAAACCGUGACUGACAUCAACUGAAUAUCUGGUUCUGUGUUUCUGACAACAUUACUGCUUGUCUUGUAUAGCAGUCCCUGUGGCCGCUGAGACUGAAAAGUAGCUCAGGCAGUUUCUCAGAGGUUGGGAAUGCUAAGAGCCCCGAUAUCUCAUCCUCUAGCCAGCCUGCUGUCCCUGUCCCCAGUUCUCGUCAACUUUUUCUAACCCACUAGUGCCACUGCCACCAUGUCUCUGCCUAGCCUGUCAGUGCUAAAUUGUCAGUAGGCAUAACAGCAGGAGGAUGAAGGUAACUGUUGGGUGUGAAAGGAGAAGUAGGCAAAUAUUUUGCUUGCCCAAGAAGCGGGAAUGUGCCGUCAAUGUGCCUGGCUAUUUCCCCAAAUAACAUGUUGCAGAGCAUUUUCUGUAAGAGACAGGCCUCCUCUUCAGCAUCCUGCCUCCAAAAAUAACUUGUGCCUGAUCUUUUAAAACCCUUCAUAAUGUACCUUGCCAGUUACAUAUUGCUGAGCAGGAGGGUUGAGAGGAUUAUUUCAGCUGUGGCAAUCAGUUUACACCUUGAACCACAAGAUCGGAUUACUUUUGGUAUUUAAUUUUGAAAUAUUUCCCCCAGAUGUACUGUACCUUUGCAUGUUUCUCGGAUGAAUUUCAUUUUGUUAUUUCCUGCUCUUAUUUCUAAGCUUUCUUAGGUACUCUGUGUUGUUUCUCUGUCUUCACUUGUUUGCAGCACUUCCUAAUUUAGUAUCAUCUGCAAAUUUAAUAUUUGUCUCGGCUCUUUGUAUCACCUGAUCAGUGGUUUUAAAAUAUUAAUGAAAUAUUAAAAACUGAGUUUAGCACAGUCCCUACAAAUUUUCCAAUGGGCAGUUCCCUAAAAGCAUUUAUUUGCGAGUGGGUUUGUUAUAUGCUUAAUGUAUAUGACACUACAGAAGUAUACAGGACCACUCAAUAGAAAUUAUGGACAUCAAUUAAUGCUUUCUUUGCUCUGAAAAACUUAGGCUACAGACAUCUCAAACAUGAGAAAUAGUAUAAAUAGUUUGGGAGUGGGGGCAUGGUUGUACGACUGAAUGUAUGAGUUUUUGAGUUUUCUGUGGGAAGCCUCUAGCAAAAGUGAAUUCAAAGCUGUCAUAAACAUAUUUCAUGACAUAGAUGAAAAAUAAAGACUGUGGUAGGAAAAGAAUACUCAGAUGGUCCAAACAAGACUGGUAUUUCUUUUAAGGAGUGGGACUAAUGAGAAAAAGUAGUAAAGGAAGAGGUCCAAGUUUUUGCAGUGCUUUAAAAUGGUGUUUUGAACUUGAUUUAUAAUAACUGGAAAUCAAGGAGCUGAGAAGGAAGGACAUGAAAAGAGAAGAGAAAUCAAAAUGUCCAUUGAAACAAAGGCAGUAAGAAAGCUGCAAGACAAGAAAAAAAAUAAAAAUCAUUGAUAGAGCUGAGGCAGCAGAUGACUAAUGUAUGAACUUUGAGAAAAGUAGUAAAGAAAAGGCUGAAUUUUUAAAUUUUUUAGACCUAGUUUUCUGGUAGCAUCUAAAUAAGCAUAGUUGAAUAUUUCAGUUGACUUUCCAUUAAAUGAUUUACUAACAUGUAAAUAUCGUACAUCAAUUCUAUUUUUAUAAAUUUAGCUCUUCCACAGUUAAGAAGAGUUUUUCUUGCAAGUUCCUAUUGCAACCUGUUUGUUACUGCUUCUUGCAACCUCACAGUUCAUGCAGGUUACUCCAUCCUGUACUUGGCUUCAGUGGAGAUUCCUUGCUGGCCUGACACGUCUUCAUGAAUUGCUUGCUCCUCCCUCUGUCUGCGAUUGCCUACGUUCUUAUUAGAAAGCGACACUUGGGCAGUUGUUGCAUCCUGCCUGUGCGUGAGUGCCUGCAGCCCGGGAGAACGCCGCCAGGUAGAGGAAGCGUGCGUGCACAGACCUAAUUUUAGACACUGAAAGAAUCAACAGGAUGCGUGGAUCAAGUUACUCUUUGCCUAGGAGAGAACAAGUCCAGAAACAUGAGAUUUCCUGGGGAUGACUGCAGCUUUAAGAGAGGACUUCGACCCACUGGAGAAGAAGGAUGGAUGGUGACUGUGCUGUAGCUAUCUGCCACAUUGUCUGUCUGAAGAGUGCGUACAGCCUUUCUGAGCUGCCAUGGGCUGCUACUUUGCUGUAAAUUCAACCGAUGGCAAAUGAUGGGACCAGGAAAUAAAGGUCUGCUCUCAGCACUCAGUAACACUACCCAGGAAGGCAGGACCUUGACGACAUGGAACAUCUAUCCAGGUUUGGAAAAGGUUACCUACAACAGACUCAGCAAGUUGCUUAUCAGUUUCCACAUGUCUAACCCCCAUCUGUGUGCUCAGAAUCGGAGUGCUUGUACUUAGGUUUCAAAUCAGUAUGCCCAGGUAAGCCUCAUAGUUCUGAAUCAGCAUGAUGUUAACUUUCUGAAAGCAAGAAUCUGUGGCUCCUAGCAUUUCUUGAGAAGAUUGCCUACGCAUGUGAUGGAUCCCCUUCUAAAGAAGCCAUCUGUAGAAGGCUCUUGCAUGCUAGCUUCAUGCACCUCCUUGGCUGCCUGCCUUCCUUUGGAGAACAGGACUCUAUUCACCCCUGUGACCUGAGGCUCCGUUCAUCUGACUCCGAAGCCAUCCCUGCCUGGGCAAAGUGACUAUCUCUGGUGGGGCCAGGGGCGAGGGAGGAAGGAAGGAGCACACUCUUAUCUGAACUGCAAAACAACCACCGCUUACAAUAGUUUUCAUGAGGGGUGACAAGUCUCUUCUCUUUUCAGAAUGUUUAUUGCCAUUUUACACAUGCUCCCAACUUCCCUCCCUCCUUGCACUUUUCUCGCUUUUGUACCCUGUAACUUUCAUCAGUUUGUUUCUUUCCUUUCAGAUGUGCUCAAGGCGCAGCAAGAGUUGAUACAAUCUAAUACAAACUUCCCUGUUUGCUGUAUCAUAAAAUGUAGUGCCUGGUGUGUUCAUUCCCCUCCUGUCAUCAAGUGCCAGCUACAGCAGUGCUUAGUACCUCCAGGUUCUUCCUGCUGUCAUUUUCACUUCCCCCCAAGGACUAAACAUUUAAAAACCAAGAAAUCCUAACUGAGAUCCUAAGUAACACUUGAACCAUGCUGAUCUUAGGUAAACAGUUCCCAGAGUGUUACCAUUCCUGAUGUUGAAAGAGCAGAUCAGUGAAAGAAAAGAAUGUGCAUACAGAUUCUUGGUAAUCAGACAGCCAGCUAAUUUCUCAAUAUUGAAAGAUUCCUUUUGAAGCCAUUAAUUUUGUUUACAUUUCAACUGACACACAGGCUAAUGAGCCUACCGUUUACUCAUGAAAGACUUUUACCCAAUUUUUAGUAGGAGCUAAUGGUUUAAGGCUUAAUUUGAUGAAAACAAUAAGAAAUGUAAAACUGGGCUUGUUUUUUGUCCAUUUUGUAUAUAUUUAUAUUUCAAGCUUUACUUCAUUAAACUGCUUUUUUCAGUUUAGUAGUAGACAAGUAAGAGGAAAAACUGCCCUGCACGUUCUUGGCAGAAAUGCUUUUGCCCGACCAGGUGCCGGUGUGAGAAGUGAUGUCAGGUACUGAAGAAACACCCGAUCUCCUGUUGGCUAGAAGCCUGCCUUUCUGCAUAAGAGUGGGUGUACGUUUCUUAUUGAAAGGUAAAACCUAGGUCAUCAGUAAUAAUCAGCAUCUCUUGCUUAAAAAGGGCUUUAGACUCUCAUCUCCUCCCACAGCAUAGGUUGGGUUGUGUCAGGGUCCUGAUGGGCUUUAAUGGCCCUGACCAGGCUCAGCCGGGAGCACCACCCACAGCCCCUGCCUGCAGGUCCAGGAGCCCCAUUUUGGGCCAGCUUUGGGCACCCUGCUGCUCCCUAAGCCAUGUUGUAGAGGUUCCUGUGCCCUUUGUCUGCUUCCCUGGCUUAUGGGCUGGUUUUCGUGGGUGGACUCCAGACCUGACCUGCAAGGUCGCUUUGCCUUCUGCCCCUGUCCUGGUUAGGCUUCCUGGGUGGAUCCUGCACUUUCCAAUUUAUCUCGCCUUGUCUGGAAUGAUCAAUGGACCCUCUCACAACCACGGGCCCAGCCCCAUUCAGAUGAUGUGGGGCUGCACAUGGGUUACCCUCAUUUCCUAGCUUAUUCUGCCUCUGGAGAAGCUCUGCUUUUGCUGCUCCCUGACAGGGGGCCGUUUUAGUAUUUAACGUUAAUGAGUUUGCUACACAGCAGGAGAGCUCCCAGCCAGCGUUGGUUUUUUUUUUUUUUCUUUUUUUUUCUUUUUUCCUCUGGCCCCUCCACAGCCCCCUCAUGUGUUCCCUGCUCAAGAGAAAGGGGGUCUGCUUGAACAUCGUGCUGCUGUUUGCACUACCACAUGUGGUACAACUCUGCUCAAGGCUCUUGCAGCAAAGUUGAAGGCUUCUCCUCAGGCCCAUGAGCAUGGGCUGUCAAGGUACUGGGAACAAAUCCAUUGCUGAUUCUACUUGGUUUUGCACCUGCAUAAGCAGUUAUUGCUUCAAAAUGUAAUCUUUCAGUUUUGUUUAGGCACGACACAGAGCACUUUCACCUGCUGUGUGAAUUUGUGCACAUUCAGAAGGCCUCCCUGUCUCCAUUUGUCAGUGGAAGGGGUAGAGUUUCCCUGGUGCAGUGCCAAAUUUAUACAGAAUUUGAAAUUUCCUCCUAUACGAGAUGCAGUGUUCUGUAAUCCUCAAGGAGAGCCUAAUGUCUUCGGGAUAUAGAUACAUAUAAAUACCCUGGCAACUGAGAAAACAGUACUUCUAAAUGAAACAGGUGAGUGUGUAGCUGGUAUCCCACUUCCUGCUGUUGUUUAUUGUUUUUCAGAAGCAUACAUUCAUGAUAAAUAAAAUCUCAGAAAAUUUGACAGAAGGAGACUUGAAGAAAGGCUUCACUGUUACUGGUAACUAGCUAACUUAGGCUGACAACAGCAGAUGACUGGUGAAAUAUUGACGUUGUCUUAGACUUGCCUCUUCCUCUUUCUGGAGUGUUGGUCCUGAGAGCCAAUUUAGCCAAUGGUUUUGCCACAUUGCUAAAAUUAAUCUCCAGAUUGAUGUAAAAUUUAUCACAGAAUUCUACCUUUAGAGAAU
Molecule: non-coding RNA, 9256 nt
Organism: Anas platyrhynchos (mallard)
Lineage: Eukaryota; Metazoa; Chordata; Aves; Anseriformes; Anatidae
Source: RefSeq, a predicted model, not a curated record